Non-coding RNA from Syngnathoides biaculeatus (alligator pipefish), 70 nucleotides. The record is from the annotation of a RefSeq genome assembly. Lineage: Eukaryota; Metazoa; Chordata; Actinopteri; Syngnathiformes; Syngnathidae.
GGCCCCAUAGCUCAGUGGUUAGAGCAUUGGUCUGGCAAACCGAUUGUGAGUUCAUAUCUCGCUGGGGCCU